This is a non-coding RNA of Parelaphostrongylus tenuis, 75 nucleotides long. The record is from the annotation of a GenBank genome assembly. Lineage: Eukaryota; Metazoa; Nematoda; Chromadorea; Rhabditida; Metastrongylidae.
GUCACGGUGGUUAGUGGGUAGAGCACGCGUCCCUGGUAUGGGUGAAAACGCGGGUUCAAAUCCCGCCUGAGGCCA